UACGGGGGGAGCAAGCGUUGUUCGGAUUUACUGGGCGUAAAGGGCGCGUAGGCGGUCAGCACAAGUCAGUUGUGAAAUCUCCGGGCUUAACUCGGAAAGGUCAACUGAUACUGUGCGACUAGAGUGCGGAAGGGGCAACUGGAAUUCUCGGUGUAGCGGUGAAAUGCGUAGAUAUCUGGAGGAACACCGGUGGCGAAGGCGGCAUCCUGGACCGAGAUUGACGCUGAUGCGCGAAAGCAUGGGGAGCAAACAGG
This 254-nucleotide ribosomal RNA is filed under the name uncultured bacterium. RNAcentral's name for it is "partial 16S ribosomal RNA". It matches the Rfam family "Bacterial small subunit ribosomal RNA", at positions 524 to 776 of the family's 1533-position model. The record is from RNAcentral.